UACAGGGGGGGCAAGCGUUGUUCGGAAUUACUGGGCGUAAAGGGUCUGUAGGUGGCCAACUAAGUCAGACGUGAAAUCCCUCAGCUUAACUGGGGAACUGCGUCUGAUACUGGAUGGCUUGAGUGUGGGAGAGGAAUGCGGAAUUCCAGGUGUAGCGGUGAAAUGCGUAGAUAUCUGGAGGAACACCGGUGGCGAAGGCGGCAUCCUGGACCGACACUGACGCUGAGGAGCGAAAGCCAGGGGAGCAAACGGGG
This 254-nucleotide ribosomal RNA is filed under the name uncultured bacterium. Its description in RNAcentral is "partial 16S ribosomal RNA". It matches the Rfam family "Bacterial small subunit ribosomal RNA", at positions 524 to 777 of the family's 1533-position model. The record is from RNAcentral.